RNAcentral lists this ribosomal RNA (440 nucleotides) under uncultured bacterium. RNAcentral describes it as "partial 16S ribosomal RNA". It matches the Rfam family "Bacterial small subunit ribosomal RNA", at positions 338 to 795 of the family's 1533-position model. The record is from RNAcentral.
CCUACGGGAGGCAGCAGUGGGGAAUAUUGCACAAUGGGGGAAACCCUGAUGCAGCGACGCCGCGUGAGUGAAGAAGUACUUCGUUAUGUAAAGCUCUAUCAGCAGGGAAGAAAAUGACGGUACCUGAGUAAGAAGCCCCGGCUAACUACGUGCCAGCAGCCGCGGUACUACGUAGGGGGCAAGCGUUAUCCGGAUUUACUGGGUGUAAAGGGAGCGUAGACGGCAGUGCAAGUCUGGAGUGAAAGGCGGGGGCUCAACCCCCGGACUGCUCUGGAAACUGUACGGCUGGAGUGCAGGAGAGGUAAGUGGAAUUCCUAGUGUAGCGGUGAAAUGCGUAGAUAUUAGGAGGAACACCAGUGGCGAAGGCGGCUUACUGGACUGUAACUGACGUUGAGGCUCGAAAGCGUGGGGAGCAAACAGGAUUAGAUACCCUUGUAGUC